CUCGUAGGUGGUUGAUCGCGUCGGAAGUGUAAUCUUGGGGCUUAACCCUGAGCGUGCUUUCGAUACGGGUUGACUUGAGGAAGGUAGGGGAGAAUGGAAUUCCUGGUGGAGCGGUGGAAUGCGCAGAUAUCAGGAGGAACACCAGUGGCGAAGGCGGUUCUCUGGGCCUUUCCUGACGCUGAGGAGCGAAAGCGUGGGGAGCGAACA
Molecule: ribosomal RNA, 207 nt
Filed under: uncultured bacterium
Lineage: Bacteria
Description: partial 16S ribosomal RNA
Rfam family: Bacterial small subunit ribosomal RNA
Source: RNAcentral